This 1938-nucleotide ribosomal RNA is filed under the name Triticum aestivum (bread wheat). RNAcentral describes it as "partial small subunit ribosomal RNA". Lineage: Eukaryota; Viridiplantae; Streptophyta; Magnoliopsida; Poales; Poaceae. The record is from RNAcentral.
AUGACGCAUGAUCUCCUAGCCACAAUCCAAGAUGGCAAUGGUGAUGGCGUACUGCAUGAGUACAACCUCUCCCGCCGCAUCCUCCUCUACUCGGAAUUUCGGACAACCACAACAAUCUCCUCAUUGCUAACUAUAGCAUUCCACCUCCUCCAGACUGUCGGCGCGGCGCAAGAGCGAUUGGUGUUUCUUGAUUUCAUUUUCAGAUUUUGCAGAGGGAAUAGCAUGUUGGAAGAUGCUGCUAAUAAGGGAUUGCCAAGGGAAAUAGGAUAUACGGCUUUACUUUGUCAAGUAUGCAAGCGAGUGAGAUACUGUUACACUAGCUUCCGCCGGGGAUUUGGAGCAUGCAUCCAGAUUCGAGGAAAUUUCAUAAUCAAACCUUUGGUUAUUGCCAUGCCGAAAUUAAACAAGUCACCCAGACCCUGGUGUUCUUUGGUGAAUAUCUCUAGCGCUGAGUUUGCCUCAUCCAUGGCGACCAUACUAGAAGCUCUGCUUCGAUCAUAUGCCAGUAAGUUGCAAGAUAUCGUUACCAAUGAAGCCAUACUAAUCUUAGGGGUGGAAGAAGAGCUCGCAAAACUGCUGCAACGAGUUGAACUAAUUCAGUGUUGUAUAUAUGAUGCUGAGAAAAGGAGGGCAAAAGAGUUAGCAGUAAACAAUUGGCUUGGCCAACUGAGAGAUGUUAUAUAUGAUGUUGAUGAAAUUCUGGACGUGGCUAGAUGCAAAGGAAGCAAGCUACUGCCUAACCACCCUUCAUCAUCAUCAAGCAAAUCGGUUGCAUGUAAAGGUUCCAACCUUGUUGAGCCCAACCUUGUGGGAAAGGAAAUCAUACAUUCUAGCAGGAAGUUGGUGGACUUGGUGCUUGCAAACAAGGAAAAGAAGUCUUACAAGCUCGCUGUUGUUGGAACCGGAGGAGUCGAUUCUACCAUUCUUCGCCGUGUAAUUACCAGGUUAUGGAUUGCUGAAGGCUUCAUUGAGGAGCAACAAGGCCAACUUCUAGAAGAGACAGCAGAGGAGUACUACUAUGAGCUAAUCCAUCGGAAUCUCCUCCAAGCAGAUAACGGAUCUUUUAACCAGGCUGAAUGCAAAAUGCAUGACCUCUUAAGACAGCUCGCUUUGACUAUAUCAAAAGAAGAGUGUUUCAUUGAUAAUAUUGAGACAUUAAGUAGUGAUAAUAUGUCAAAACUACGACGAGUUACUGCCGUGAGUAAGAAGGAUAAAUUAGUGUUGCCUAGCAUGAAUAAGGUGGAGGCUAAGGUGAGGACUUUCUUUACCGUUCAUGGUCCACAGAGCAUUGAGGAUUCAUUGUUCAAGAGAUUUGCUUCUUUGUGUUCACUUGUACAAAGCAUUCCAGAUUAUAUAGGAAGACUGAUACAUCUAUGCCUACUUGAUCUUGAUUAUACUGGCAUAUCUUGUCUUCCAGAAUCCAUUGGCUCCCUACAAAACCUUCAAAUUUUGAGCUUGAAUUAUUGUGAUGCUUUGCACAAUCUUCCUUCGGCGAUAUCCCAAUUGUACAGUUUAAGAUGUCUUAGCCUUCUUGAUACAAAAAUAAAUCGAGUUCAGAAAGGGAUAGGAAAACUGAAGUUCCUCACUGGUUUACAAGGGUUUUCGGUUGGCCGCAAAGUCCGGAUGCCCGUAAAGUCCCCCACUUUGUUUCCGGUUUGCGGGAAAAAUAAUACUAUUAUUAUCACGCUGGGCGGCCGCGCGCGGCCGGCCGCGGGCAGCAUGUGCUGGGUUUGUGGUUCGUGGAUGGCAGGUAUGGUUUCCUUCUGCGGCGUCUUAGUCGCGGUGGGGUGCCAGAUCUGGAGUUCGAUGGCGUGUCUGGGGUGUUGCUCCGGCCUGAUUCGUUCAACGGUAAGGGCUUCACUUUUGGUGAGCCACCUUGGAGGUCCGCAAAGCUGCAUAUCAGCGAUGGAGCCGCAUCGAGCUCGGGGGAGGAGGUGA